GCAGAAAGGAUACAGGUAACAUCAUUGGGGUUCCGAAGCUUGGCCCAAGACCUGGCCUUCCUGAGGGAGAUUGCAUCCCUGCCGUGGGGACCUCACUGCUCCGGGUUUGUGAAUGCGGGAACCAACUGGAGAAGGUGGCAGUGAGGUCACAGAACGCGACCUUGCAUCAUAGCCCCCAGGCGACGCCUGGGGCAGUAGGGGCUGUUGCCCACAGAGCUGUCGACCCCAAAGACUGAGGAGGGAUGGGGCACCUGCUGGCUGAGACCGUCCACAGUUGACCUGCCCAGAGUAAAGCUUCCCUUGCACAGGAGGAAUGAAGCAGCAUCCCUUCACUUCUUCUAGAGUCUGAAGACAUCCGUCAUCGUCACGCUGAAGCAUGUUGUCAGAGGCAUUGAAGCCGGGGUUGUGCUGGUUCCCGUACGGAAGCCCCUUGAUCCUUCUUACCCUUCCCGGUCGGCUUCUCUUCCUGCUCAAGCUACUCACACCUGAGACCGCUCCCCUCUUCUCACCCUAGGCUUCAAGGAUCUACCCUCCCUCUUGCCAUCCUGCCCACUUAGCCAUCUUCCUCUUUUAGACCCAGGCCCCAGCGCUUGUUAAAUCAGCCCCCAUCAGCACUUCCUGUUCAAUCCCACCUAGGGAGCCCUGCUCCCCCCCAAACCCUGUAGCUCCCUUCCUGUAACGCGCAGGAGGCUGGAGGCAGUUUUCCUGAGACCGUUACUCUUAACCCUC
Molecule: long non-coding RNA, 729 nt
Organism: Neofelis nebulosa (Clouded leopard)
Lineage: Eukaryota; Metazoa; Chordata; Mammalia; Carnivora; Felidae
Exons: 2
Source: RefSeq, a predicted model, not a curated record